Molecule: ribosomal RNA, 486 nt
Filed under: Triticum aestivum (bread wheat)
Lineage: Eukaryota; Viridiplantae; Streptophyta; Magnoliopsida; Poales; Poaceae
Description: partial small subunit ribosomal RNA
Source: RNAcentral
AUGCAGGUCCCGGAGCAGCAGCGGCAGCAGAGGGCGCCCGUGAUGGCAAUGAACUCGGACAUGGUGGUCAUCCUGGCGUCGCUCUUGUGCGCGCUCGUCCUCGCCCUCGUCACCCACUGCGCAUGCAGACGCCGGCGCUACGCCAAUUCUCCUCCUCCCCCCAAGGGCCUCAAGAAGAAGGACAUCGAUGCUCUCCCCACCGUCUCCUUCGCUGCCGCGGCUCCAGCGCAGUCAUCGUCGUCGUCGUCGUCGUCAGAAUGCGGGAUCUGCCUGGCCGAGUUCAUGGAGGGGGAGGGACUGCGCGUGCUCCCGCAGUGCGGCCACGGCUUUCAUGUCGCAUGCGUCGACGCCUGGCUACGGACCUGCGCCACAUGCCCCUCCUGCCGCGCCCCCAUGGUUGCCACGCCCGCGACUCCCACUGUGGUGGUCGUAGUGGCGGCGAACAACAGGUGCGAGAGGUGCGGCGAUCGAGAUGGCGGCGCCUAA